RNAcentral lists this long non-coding RNA (315 nucleotides) under Heterocephalus glaber (naked mole-rat). RNAcentral's name for it is "lncRNA (ENSHGLG00000040351.1)". Lineage: Eukaryota; Metazoa; Chordata; Mammalia; Rodentia; Bathyergidae. The record is from RNAcentral.
CCCUUCGCCGCUGUCACUCGUGGGUCCCACCUUUUCUCAGCUCUGCACAGCUACCCCAGAAGCCGGGAUCCCAGGAAAGGCGGAGACCCCCUGUCUGAGACCAGGAGACAAAGAUCUCCCCGUCCUGGAGUGGGGCCAGCCCUCAGCCACGCGACUCCGGGACUGCGACAUCAGGACGGGGACACGCCCCGCGGAGCCCACUGCGCCCCGUGUGUCAGGGCCAGGAGCUGCCGCCCAGCCGGCCUCUCUCUGCCCUCGUCCCGAGCAGUGGCCUAGAGGGCCCAGCCUGCCCGCCCCAGGCCCUGGACCCCGCCC